Molecule: long non-coding RNA, 1214 nt
Organism: Mobula hypostoma (lesser devil ray)
Lineage: Eukaryota; Metazoa; Chordata; Chondrichthyes; Myliobatiformes; Myliobatidae
Exons: 3
Source: RefSeq, a predicted model, not a curated record
UCAAGCCUAAGAGUAGCCAUUGUACUCUUUACGUGGAAACAGCAUUUGCUCCACAGAUAAACAUACUUAGAUAAAUUAACACUGCUACUAACGUUUUAGUUGGUUAAUAUAUGAAUGAUCAACACAGACGAUUAAUCACCUGGUUUGUCCUGAAACUAGCAAAACUAGUUAGGGUCCAUGUAUUUGAGCAUUCUGAAACAUCUCCAAAUAUAUACCCCAGUUUGUCUGGAAUGUUUUAUAAGCUUCACAGACUCCGAGAUGAUUCAUUACAAAAGGUUCUUUUGAAGAUCCUGACCUGGAGUUGCAUGCUGACUUUGCGGGAAUGGGACCCGCUCUUGAGUUGUCAUGACUGGCCACUAUCUGACAUGCCAAGGACAUGGCCUAAGAGUUUGGCUCGCCUUUGGAGACGUAGGAUAUCGGGGCUCUGGAGACAGGUGGAUUGAAGGUCAAUGUCCGACAGACCGGUGUGUCGUGGCAGCUAGAAGAUCUUUGGCUGUGUGCCCAGAAGCCUGAGAUCUUUGGGUACAGAACUCGGAAAAAGCGACGCAACGGACUUUUAACAUCGUAAACCAGCAAGUUGUCUGUUUGUUUGAAACGGAGACACCUCUUUCUCCCUUAUUAUACAGAGAGAUAACCUGUGGUUUCUGCCACAACAGAAGGAGGGCACACCCUGACUCCUGGUGAGCGGGCCAUAAGAAAAGAUCUGCAUAAGGCACCUUCGGGAACUCAGUGGAAAAUUCUUUAUCAAAAACUGUUAAUUACUUACUCAGCAGAGAAGGUAGAAGUUAAAAAUGAAUGAGUACAUGCUCGCCACUGCAAGUGAGCUAAAGCAGUACCCAACCAGUACAAUAAACACUGAGGUUAAUGUGCAAGUUACCUCUGAAUCAGUGCCUACACUGCUGGGCUGCAGUGAGCACAUCACAAACUAGCCAGAAGACUUUGAACAGAGUCAAUAACUGCUGGACAUUAUGAAGUUUAUAUGCAUAUUAUUUGUAGUUGUUAUAUUUCUGCCAAUUUUUCCUAUUCACAAUGUGCCAAUUGAGCUGAUUCAUAAUGUGUACUUGCUUGUAUAACAUUAAUUUGUGGAUGCUUUUAGUGCCUCUAGCUGUUGGGUAGCAUAUCUGGAAGAAAGGCUUUAUAUAUCACAUACUUAGAAAUAGUUGCCAUGCGUAAGAUGGUUCUCCAAAAUUGGAUGGCAUUAGAUCUUCUCUUAG